AUUAUUACUUCGCUAAAGGAUGCAUGAUCACAAAUAUUUGUAAUGAAGAUAGUGACUCCUUUUUUCUCAAAAUAAUUUUAAAUUAACUUAAACAUGCCUGAUUUUCAGAAAGAAAGUAUUAAAAGUAAAACCAUACCUUUAAUUUAGGACUGACUUCUGCAUUUCAACUGUAGAUUAUUCUAGUAUGAAGAGUGCUAUUUGCAUGUUGGAAUGAAUAUCUUUUAAUUCUUAAUUUGUAAGUUACAAAGAAAUAGGAGACUGAAAUACUUUUUAUCUUACAAAAUUCCAAACACCUUUUCAAGCAAUUUAUAUCUUAUUUCUGUAAUAGUUUUAUCACCAGCCAAUGGGUAUGCACUGUAUGUCAUAAUAUGGAAAGAAAUUCUUUAUUAUUUCAGAUAUUAAGGAUUUCAGAUUUUAAAAGAGUUAUCAGUGAAACCAUGUUACAAGAAUAUUUCCUUCCUGAGACAUCUCAGUAUUAUAGGUGGCUUCAGACUCACAGGCACAGAAUACGAUAGUGGGAAGCAUCUGAUUCGCUUUACUCUACUUGGUACCUUUAGGACGUUCAGCCAGAGGUGAUUGGAGGGAUUUGCACGUCUACCACUCGUGUGUGUAUCUGUGAACCAUAUCUCCUUUAGUGCCUGCUUUUGAACGUUAUAUAAACAGAAUGAUGCUGCCUGUUUAUUUCUAUAAUUUUCUUCUUUUCCUUAGCAUGUGCUGUUCUUGGCAGCUUGCUUCUCCAUGUGAAUUUUGGAAAAGCUUCUGAAGUUCCCUUUAGUAAACACCAAGAGAACUAUUGCUGGGUCGUAUCGUAGUUGCAUGUUCAGUUCUCUAAGGCACUACCAAUCUGUUUUCUUUUCUUUUUUGUUUUUUUUUGAGACAGGGUCUCACUCUGUCACCUAGGCUGAAGUGCAGUGGUGUGAUCAUGGCUCACUGCAGCUUUGACCUUCCUGGGAUCAGGUGAUCCUCUCAGCUCAGCCUCCCGAGUAGCUAGGACUAUAGGCAUGCACCACCACGCCCAUCUAAUUUAUUGUAUUUUUAGUAGAGACCAUGGAUUUCGCCAUGCUUCCCAGGCUAGUCUUGAACUCCUGGGGUCAAGUGAUCCUCCCUCCUCGGCCUCCAAGUGCUGGGAUUACAGGUAUGAGCCACUGCAUCCAGCCCAACCUGUUUUCUAGAGUGACUGUUUUAUAGUUUUAAAGUCCCUCAUCCAUUUUGAGCUAUGUUUUUGGUGUAAUUUAUGUGGUUUAGGUCAAUGUCCAGUUGCUCCAGCACCAUUUGUUGUAAUUGUGUAAAAAAUCAGAUGAGCAUUUUUUUGUUGCUCUAUUUCUGGGUUCUCUAUUCUGCUCCAAUCAUCUUUGCAUCCAUGCCUCUGCCAAUAUAAUAUGGUCUAAUGACUACAGCUAUUAUUGUAAGCCUUAAGGAAAAAAUAAAACAGUCCCUAUUUUCAGAUGGCAAGAUGGUUUACACAGAAAACCCCAAGGUAUCUCCAAAAAAGAGCUCCUAGAACUGGUAAGUGAGUUCAGCAAGGUUGCUGGAUUCAAGAGUAAUACACAAAUGUCAAUCACAUUUUGCAUAUUAACGAUGAACAUAUGGAAAGCAAAAUUUAAAACACAAUGUCAUUUAUAAUUAAUUGCUCCAAAUAAAAUGAAAUGCCUAGAAUAUACACUUAAUAAAACAUGAAUAGAAUUUGUAUGUUGAAAAUUACAAAAUGCUGAUGAAAGAAAUCAAAGAAGAACUAAAUAAAUGGAGAGACAUACUGUACUUAUGAAUUGGAAGAUUCAGUAUAGUAAAGAUGUCAUUUCUCCCCAACUUGAUAAUAGUUGUAAUGAAAUUGAAUUAAUGAAUCAAAUAGAGUGAUUUCUCCCACUUUCUUCUUCUUCAUCCAGAUUGUUUUAGCUAUUCUUGGGCCUGCGCUUUUUUCAUAUAAAUUUUACAAUAAACUUACCUUUGUCUAUAAAAAAACCUUGUUGGGAUUUUGAUAGGAAUUUCAUUACAUCUGUAGAUCAAUUUGGGAAGAAAUGACAUGCUUACUAUACUGAAUCUUCCAAUUCAUGAAUUAGUAUGUCUCUCCAUUUAUAUAGGUCAUUUCUUAUAGGUUGAUUAUAGGUAUAUAGGUUGAUUUCUUUUGUCAGCAUUUUUUUAUUUUGUUGUGUUAUGUCCAUGGGUUUUAGUUGUAAAGGAGAGGACCUGGGGGAAAAGGAGCUACUUCAUCUUGGUGGAAUUGGAAGUCCUAUUACAGUUGUCUCCUCUUAUCCAUGCUUUUGCUUGGAAAGUUAGUUUCAGUUACUUGUGGUCAACAGUGGUCUGAAAAUAUUAAAUGGAAAAUUCCAUAAAUAAAGAAUUCAUAAGUUUUAAAUUUUGCACUGUUCUGAGUAGCAUGAUGAAAUCUUGCCCCUUUCUGCUCCAUCCCACCCAGGACGUGAAUCAUUUCUUUAUCCAGCAUAUCUACUCAGCAUAUGCUGCCUGACCACUAGUUACUUGGUAGUCCUCUUGGUUAUCAGACCAAAAAACUAGUAUAUAUAGCGUUUGGUACUAUGUGUGGUUUCAGGCAUCCUCUGGGGGUCUUGGAAUGUAUCUCUUGCAGGUAAGGAGGACUCUCUAUUGGCUUUUGAACUCUUCAAGGUCAGAGAUUUUGUCUGCUUUUUUUCUGCAACAUGAAGUCUAGCAUGCUGUCUGUCACAGUAGAUGGUUUAAUACAUGUCGGAUUAAUAAACAAGUAAUUGAUAUUUGUUGAGAAAAUAAUUUUGUGUUGGAUGCAGAGAAUAUGUAUGAGGUAUUUUUUCUACCCUUAGAGAACAAACUAUAUGACUGUGAAAACUUAAUGUGAAACUUACACGUUUAGUUUUGUGUAAUGUGGUUUUGUUUAGUGGGUAUUAGAAUGAAAUUUGAAAUCCAGUGGUCCUGGAUAUGAAUCUGGCCUCCAUUAAUUUACUAGCUAUAUGACCUUGGGAAAGUUCCUUAACUUCUCUGACACUAGGAUUUUCUCAUUUAAAAAAUUGGGUGCUGGCUGUAGUCACCUGUCAGGGUUUUUAUAAGGUUAAAUGGUAUAAUACAUGAAAAGUACUUGACUCUGUGCUUGACAUGUAGGAAGCCCUCAAAACUGGUAGUGACUAAAGAAAAUGAUAAGCAGCAUUACAGCACAGGUAAGUGAUAACUGGGUUACACAAAGUAUAACAGGAACGCCUAUGGAAACCUAAAGUUGUAGGGAAAGACUUUAUGGAGGAAGCAGGACUUGAUCUAGCCCUUAAAAAAGAACAACGCUAGCUGGGCACAGUGGCUCAUGCCUGUAAUCCCAGCACUCUGGGAGGCCGAGGUGGGCGGAUCACCUGAGGUCGGGCGUUCGAGACCAGCCUGACCAACAUGGAGAAACCCUGUCUCUACUAAAAAUACAAAAUCAGCCGGGUACAGUGGCACAUGCCUGUAAUCCCAGCUACUCGGGAGGCUGAGGCAGGAGAAUCGCUUGAAACCAGGAGGUGGAGGUUGUGGUGAGUCGAGAUCGUGCCAUUGCACUCCAACCUGGGCAACAAGAGUGAAACUCCAUCUCAAAAAAAACAAAACAAAACAACAAUGCUUAGACAAGCUUCGAGGUGAGAGUGAGUGAACAUGGUUAUGGCAUUCCAAAGAGACAAGACAUAAUGAGCUAUGGUUAGGAAGCUGCAAUGUGUAUGGCAGGCUCGCAAAACAAAAAGAUUACUUGGAUGAUCCAAGAAAUCUUGUACAGAAGUAAUAGCAAUAAGGUAGACUAGAUGUCCUGAAAAUCAUUCCUCUACAAAAUCCCUAAAAAUGCUUAUUUUUUAAAGACUUUAUAGUUACAUUUUCAAAAAGUAAGGGAAAUCCUCAAAUUCCAAAAAAGUACUUAAAAGCAUGAAUUCAAGCAUCAGAGUUAAACUACAUAGCAGACCAAAUAGGCCUAAGCGACAUUUACAGACCAUUUCACCCAAAUGCUGCAGAAUACACGUUAUUUUCAUCAGGACAUGGAACAUUCUCCAGAACAGAUCAUAUCUUAGGCCAUGUGACAAGUCUCAACAGAUUUUUUAAAAAUAUAAAUCAUAUCAAGUGUCUUUUCUAACAAAAAUGGAAUAAAACUAGAAAUCAGUAGCAAGAAGAACCUUGAAAACCACAAAACACAUGGAAACUAAACAACAUGCUCUUGAACAACCUAUGGGUGAGAAAAGAAAUAAAGAAGAAAAUUAAAAAAUUUAUUGAACUACAUCACAAAGGAAAUACAACAUACCAAAUCUAUUGAAUAUAGCAAAAGCAGUACUAAGAGGGAAGUUUAUAGCAAUAAAUAUCUAUAUCAAAAAAGUAGAAAGACUUUAAAUAAACAACCUAAAAUGUGCCAUAAGGAACUAGAAAAAAAGAAAAAACCAAACCCUAAAUUAGUAGAAGGAAAUAAAUAAUAAAGAUCAGAGCAGAAAUAUAUGAAACUGAGACUUAAAAAUACAGAUCAAUAAAAUGAAAAGUUGGUUUUUUGAAAAAAUAAACAAAAUCAACAAACCCUUAGCUAGAUUAAGAAAAAAAGAGAGAAGACCCAAAUAAAAUUAGAAACAAAGAAGGAGACACAACUGAGACCACAGAAAUAGAAUCAUUAGAGACUGUUAUGAACAACUACAUGCCAACAAAUUUUUAAAAAUUCUAGGGAACUUAGAAAAAUGGAUAAAUUCCUGGACACAUACAACUUACCAAAAUUGAACAAUGAAGAAAUAGAAAACAUCCACAAACCAAUAAUGAAUCAGGAGAUCAAAGCCGUAAUAAAAUGUCUCUCAUCAAAGAAAAGCCCAGGACCUGAUGACUUUAGUGCUGAAUUCUAAACCAAACUCUAACCAAACUCCUAAAAAAAAAAAAAAAAAAAAAAAAAAAAAAAAAAAAUUGGACAGGAGGGAAUAACUGCAAACUCACUCUGUAAGGUCAACAUUACCCUGAUACCAAAACCAGACCAAAAAAGAAAACUACAAGCCAAUAUCACUGAUGAACAUGGUUGGGAAAUCCUCAACAAACCAAAGCAAUCCUGGGCAAAAAGAACAAAGGAAGCAUCACACUACCUCCGUUAAAAUGGCUUUUAUCAAAAGGGCAGGGAAUAACAGAUGCUGGUGAGGAUGCAGAGAAAGGUGAACCUUUGUACCCUGUUGGUGGGAAU
This 5134-nucleotide long non-coding RNA is filed under the name Homo sapiens (human). RNAcentral describes it as "non-protein coding lnc-C9orf3-5:1". The record is from RNAcentral. Lineage: Eukaryota; Metazoa; Chordata; Mammalia; Primates; Hominidae.